Molecule: long non-coding RNA, 151 nt
Organism: Molossus molossus (Pallas's mastiff bat)
Lineage: Eukaryota; Metazoa; Chordata; Mammalia; Chiroptera; Molossidae
Exons: 3
Source: RefSeq, a predicted model, not a curated record
GACACACUUCUUCAGCUGCUGCAAUAAAGCAUGACUAAAUCACCACAUGUCUGACUGAUAGCGUUUGGUGCCUUUUUCUCAUGGAGGUGAAUUUUCACAGGGUGGGGUUGGAUCUCCGAGGGAGGGGCUGCUGCCUCUCCUCAGAGCCCUG